CAUCAUCGUGUGUAAAACACUGGCACAAACAAAGAAAUUGGGGGUAAGGAGGGAGAAAAAGGAGAGACAGAGACAAGGAAGAGUGAGCGAGAGAGAGAGAGAGAGAGACAUGGGGUGUGACCUGUGUACUGUGUUGAUACAUGGUACCAGAUUCAUAAUAGUCUAAGUCCCUCACAGUAUCGUAGUACUGCAGUUACAUUCUAGUAUUCCAGUCUAUUACUGUAUGUUAUCAAAAACAACAACAAUGUCUCGGUGUAGCAGCAGGUGUCGCUCUUGUUCAAUCCUGUGUGGGUGUGGUAGUGAAGCAGGUGAACAGGGCCGUCACAGAGCAGCCAGAGGCGGAGUCACAGGCUCCGCCUCUGGCUGCUCCACUUCACACCAAGCUGUCGUGGCCAGUUGAAGUCAAACCAUCAGGGAGAAAUGAACUGAGAUGCGGUGGAACUCAGAUCGCCUCAGGUGUCUGCUGCUGCUCUGCCUGUGUUUCCUCACAGCCACCUGGAUCAAAUCCAAACGCCAUGAUGCAGCAGGUUCUGCUUUGGGUCUGUCCUGGGGGGCCACGGGGGCCCCGGGGGCCACAGCGCUGUCGGACCUGCAGCUGCUGUAUCAGAGACUCCUGGCAGCUGAGGAGUUGGGGGGGCAGGUGUCCAGGAACCUCAGCAGUAUCCUGGAGCAUCUGAGAGCUCAGUCCAAGGUCAGCAGCACUGAGCGGUCCAGCACCCCCACAGACAAAACACAGCAGCCGGUGAUCGGGGGGGGUGAUCAGGCCCAGCAGCUGCACCUGGACCUCAGCAUCUACCUCCACCUGCCCCACCUCAGACACAGUCCAAACAGCCUCGUCCCCAAAACAGUGCUGGGACAGGGACGCCGUGGAGGUACGGAGCAUCUUAGCACACAAGAAGAAGAAGAAGCUGCUGCGAUUGAUCAGAAAAAUGGAACUCUGUGUGUGUGUGGGUGUGGGUGUGUGUGUGUGUGUGUGUGUCUUUCAGUGUCCGUCGUACUGGGAGUCCCUACAGUGAAGAGAGACAAACAGAGCUACCUGAUCAACACCAUCAACUCUCUGCUCUACGGACUCUCUUCUUCACAACAUCAAGACCUCCUCAUCGUUGUCUUAGUCGCCGAGGUGGACUUUCAGUACGUGAACGCUGUCGCUCAGACCAUCGGGACAAAUUUUCCCAGAGAGGUUCGCUCAGGGUUGCUGGAGGUCAUCUCCCCUCCAGAGGAAUACUACCCUGACCUGAGCCACCUGACGGAGACCCUGGGCGACUCCCAGGACAGAGUGAGAUGGAGAACCAAGCAAAUUCUAGACUUCAGUUUCCUUAUGAUGUAUUCCAAGGACAGAGGAGCCUACUAUGUUCAGCUGGAGGACGACAUUGUUGCUAAAGAAGAUUAUUAUCAGCAGAUGAAGACCUACGUCACUCAGGAAGCAUCUAAACCAUGGCUUUACCUGGAGUUCUCCCAACUAGGCUUUAUAGGGAAGUUGUUUCGGACUCGUGACCUGCCUGUGAUUGUUGACUUCUUCCUGAUGUUCCAUAAAGACAAGCCCAUCGAUUGGUUGUUGGAUUACAUGCUGUGGGUGAAAGUGUGCCACCCUGAGAAAGAUGUGGCACACUGUGAUCAACAGAGGGCGCAGCUCAGGCAGAGGUACAAGCCGUCUCUCUUCCAGCACAUGGGCCUCCACUCCUCUCUGUCUGGAAAAGUUCAGCACCUCAAGGAUAAGGACUUUGGGACGCAGGUUCUGUACCAUCCUCACAGUAACCCUGCAGCAGAACUGGAGACCAGCCUGAAACAUUACAGAGGCCACAGUCUGGACCGGGCCUACAGAGGUCAGGACUUCUUCUGGGCUCAAACACCUAACCAGGGGGACUACGUCCUCAUCAGGUUCCCUAAGCCUCUCCAUGUGUCACGAUUCCUGUUUCGCAGUGGAAACAUUGAAAACAGUAAAGAUAAACUGUACAACACCACAGUGGAGGUUCUGCCCAGCACGGUCUCCACAGGACACACAGAGUCUGACGGCUUCAGAGUUGUUGGGGCCUUUGAAGACGGACUAGCUGCUGGGCAGAUUGAAAAUGGGCUGCAGCCCAUCUGGGCUCUACGUCUGGUGGUCCAUGCUAGUUCAGAUGUGUGGACUCUACUCAGUGAGGUGUGACCUGGGAGCUCACUCACACUAACUAACCAACUAACUGGACUAGUUUCAGCAGCCUCGUAGGUCAGGGGUUAGUUAGAGUCAAAGGGUGACGGGGGUGUACAGCACCAGUGAUCAGAGCACUGGACCGCUCUGGUCCCUGAGCCCUGAAGCCCAGCACCCCAGAUUCACAUUGAAGUCUGAUGACCGGAUCAACCGAUACACACACACACACACACACACACACUAACCACUGUGUUGACAAGUGUUCGUGUGAGCAGACAGAAGUGGUGCAAAUAAAACAGACCCAGAUGUCUACGACCG
Cynoglossus semilaevis (tongue sole) is the source of this 2446-nucleotide RNA transcript. It is a transcript of the gene named alpha-1,3-mannosyl-glycoprotein 4-beta-N-acetylglucosaminyltransferase B, with no coding region annotated. The transcript has 14 exons. The record is from RefSeq and is a predicted model, not a curated record. NCBI's taxonomy places the organism in Eukaryota, Metazoa, Chordata, Actinopteri, Pleuronectiformes, Cynoglossidae.